This 404-nucleotide unclassified non-coding RNA is filed under the name soil metagenome. RNAcentral's name for it is "partial contains 5.8S ribosomal RNA, internal transcribed spacer 2, and large subunit ribosomal RNA". The stretch from base 1 to 122 matches the Rfam family "5.8S ribosomal RNA", at positions 35 to 154 of the family's 154-position model. The record is from RNAcentral.
GAUGAAGAACGUAGCGAAAUGCGAUACUUGGUGUGAAUUCCAGAAUCCCGUGAACCAUCGAGUUUUUGAACGCAAGUUGCGCCCGAAGCCGUUAGGCCGAGGGCACGCCUGCCUGGGUGUCACAAAUCGUUGCCCCAAUGCCAAUCGCCUCACUUUGUAGGUAUUUGCUUGGGGUGAAUGUUGGCCUCCCGUGAGCUUUGUCUCACGGUUGGUUGAAAAUCGAGUGCAUGGUGUCGGGUGUACCAUGAUGGAUGGUGGUUGAGUGAUGAUGCUCGAGACCAAUCAUGGGUAACUCCACCAGAAUUGGGCUCGGUGACCCACAUGCGUCCCUUGGAUGCUCCCUAAGGAGACCUCAGGUCAGGCGGGGCUACCCGCUGAGUUUAAGCAUAUCAAUAAGCGGAGGA